Molecule: ribosomal RNA, 951 nt
Filed under: beta proteobacterium H3RB1
Lineage: Bacteria; Pseudomonadati; Pseudomonadota; Betaproteobacteria
Description: bacterial SSU rRNA
Rfam family: Bacterial small subunit ribosomal RNA
Source: RNAcentral
GCUUACUUCCUGCCAGCAGCGGCGGUAAUAGGUGGGGAGCAUUCUUAAUAGGAAUUGUUGGAGGUAAGCGUCCCCGGCGUUUAAGAUAAGACAGAUGUGAAAUCCCCGGGCUCAACCUGGGAAUUGCAUUUGUGACUGCAAGGCUAGAGUUAGACAGAAGGGGGGUAGAAUUCCGCGUGUAGCAGUGAAUUGCGUAGAUAGGGGGAGGACCACGGAGGGGGAAGGCACCCCCCCUGGGUCAAAACUGUCGCUCAUGCAAGAAAGGGUGGGGACCAAACAGGAUUAGAUACCUUGUUUAGUCCACCCCCUAAAGGAUGUCUACUAGUUGUUGGUUCUUAAUUGACUUAGUAACGCAGCUAACGCGUGAAGUAGCCCGCCUGGGGAGUACGGUCGCAAGAUUAAAACUCAAAGGAAUUGACGGGGACCCGCACAAGCGGUGGAUGAUGUGGAUUAAUUCGAUGCAACGCGAAAAACCUUACCUACCCUUGACAUGGAUGGAAUCCUUGAGAGAUUGAGGAGUGCCCGAAAGGGAACCAUUACACAGGUGCUGCAUGUCUGUAGUCAGCUCGUGUCGUGAGAUGUUGGGUUAAGUCCCGCAACGAGCGCAACCCUUGUCAUUAGUUGCUACGCAAGAGCACUCUAAUGAGACUGCCGGUGACAAACCGGAGGAAGGUGGGGAUGACGUCAAGUCCUCAUGGCCCUUAUGGGUAGGGCUUCACACGUCAUACAAUGGUACAUACAGAGGGCCGCCAACCCGCGAGGGGGAGCUAAUCCCAGAAAGUGUAUCGUAGUCCGGAUCGCAGUCUGCAACUCGACUGCAUGAAGUCGGAAUCGCUAGUAAUCGCGGAUCAGAAUGUCACGGUGAAUACGUUCCCGGGUCUUGUACACACCGCCCGUCACACCAUGGGAGCGGGUUUUGCCAGAAGUAGGUAGCUUAACCGCAAGGAGGGC